UCGAGCUCGCGCGCUCAGAUUUAAACUCCCGACCGUUAAGCGCCAACUGCCGCUGCGCGCGUGAGAACGGGAACGUUCGGCAGUUACCGGCGUCCUGCAACUUUCAGCAGCAAGGUGAGGGCUGUGGGCUUGGAGCUGAAUCCCGGGUUGGUUUGGUCUCCAGGUACAGAGCAUGGCAGGAAGGAGUGCAACAUAAUCCUGGAGUUUACAUCUCAGACUUGUGGAGGUCAGAUUCGAAAAAAAAUAUUGUCACAUUAGGAGUUCCUGAAGUGAUUUUGCCAGACCUGCUGAGUUCAUGGAAUUCCUACAAUGAGUAAAGAGGCCAUUUGGCUUAUUGAGACUGCACUCAUCUUCCAAAGAGCAUCCCAUCCAGACCUAACUGCUUGCUUCCCUCAUCGUGAUCCAGUCUUCAUCAAUGAAAUAAAGGGAAGAAUUGAGUAUGAUUGAAAUCGAUGAACAAUUGCACAGUACUUCAACGGAGAAUACAGGGAGGAUAGACAUUGCAGAUAGAUCCUGACUAUUCCCCAAAUAACAACUGCACAAGUAUUGGAAGACAUCCAGUCUCUUCACAGCAUUGCUCAACACUGAAGGUUGGGCACUGUGAUCAUCAUUUGGAAGUUGAGCAGGUCAGGAGAAUGUUGGCAUAUCAUGAAAUCUGAAACUGGUCAGUGAUGUGGAGCUUCCAUCAGAACCAAUUUUUCCAAUGGUUCAGCUUGAUGAUGGUGAGGCUGGGAAGAAGUGAGUGGCUCCAAGUGUGUUGACAGCUUCAAUGAUUCCUGGAGCCUUAUGAACCACUGACUCAUUUCCACAGGUCAGAGGCUUUUUAAGGGUAAGGAAUGUGAGGUGGCCUCCAAGACUGUCAAGAUCUCCAAAACAUGUGCAUUUGUUGAACACUCAUAUGGAAGAGAAACAAUUUAAGUGUGAGGUCUGUGACCAAGACUUCAGACAAUCAUCGAUGCUUAUGAAACACCAAAGUAUCCAACACAGGAAGAAACCUUUCAUGUGUGAGGUGUGUAUCAAAUCAUAUUCCAAGCCAUCGCACCUCUACAUACACCAAUACAUUCACACAGGGGAGAACCCGUUCAAAUGUGAAGUUUGUGGUAAAGCUUUUGCAACAUUCACAACCUUUCUAUCCCACCAACAUAUUCACACAGGAGAAAAGCUGUUCACUUGUGGCGUGUGUGAAAAAUGCAGAGCUGGGCUGAGGAGUGGCAGAUGGAAUUCAACCCUGCCAAGUGUGAGGUUGUCCAUUUUGGAAGAACAAAUAAGAAUGCGGAAUACAGGGUUAACGGUAGAGUUCUUAGUCAGGUGGAGGAACAGAGGGAUCUUGGGGUCUAUGUACAUAGAUCUUUGAAAGGUGGAUAGAUCUUGUAAGAAGGCCUAUGGUGUAUUAGCGUUCAUUAGCAGAGGGAUUGAAUUCAAGAGUCGUGAAGUGAUGUUGCAGCUGUACAGGACUUUGGUUAGGCCACAUUUGGAGUACUGUGUGCAGUUCUGGUCACCUCACUUUAGGAAAGAUGUGGAAGCUUUGGAGAGGGUGCAGAGAAGAUUUACCAGGAUGUUGCCUGGAAUGGAGAAUAGGUCGUACGAGGACAGGUUGAGAGUUCUCGGCCUUUUCUCGUUGGA
Molecule: long non-coding RNA, 1623 nt
Organism: Hemiscyllium ocellatum (epaulette shark)
Lineage: Eukaryota; Metazoa; Chordata; Chondrichthyes; Orectolobiformes; Hemiscylliidae
Exons: 4
Source: RefSeq, a predicted model, not a curated record